This 460-nucleotide ribosomal RNA is filed under the name uncultured bacterium. RNAcentral's name for it is "partial 16S ribosomal RNA". It matches the Rfam family "Bacterial small subunit ribosomal RNA", at positions 338 to 795 of the family's 1533-position model. The record is from RNAcentral.
CCUACGGGUGGCAGCAGUGAGGAAUAUUGGUCAAUGGGCGUAAGCCUGAACCAGCCAAGUCGCGUGAGGGAUGAAGGUUCUAUGGAUCGUAAACCUCUUUUAUAAGGGAAUAAAGUGUGGGACGUGUCCUAUUUGGUAUGUACCUUAUGAAUAAGGAUCGGCUAACUCCGUGCCAGCAGCCGCGGUAAUACGGAGGAUCCGAGCGUUAUCCGGAUUUAUGGGGCUUAAAGGGUGCGUAGGCGGCCUUUCAAGUCAGCUGUGAAAGCCUAUGGCUCAACCAUAGAAUUGCAGUUGAAACUGGGAGGCUUGAGUAUGUGAGAGGCAGGUGGAAUGCGUGGUGUAGCGGUGAAAUCCUUAGAGAUCACGCAGAACCCCGAUUGCGAAGGCAGCCUGCCAGGCCAUGACUGACGCUGAUGCGCGAAAGCGUGGGGAUCAAACAGGAUUAGAUACCCGUGUAGUC